Molecule: ribosomal RNA, 515 nt
Filed under: uncultured bacterium
Lineage: Bacteria
Description: partial 16S ribosomal RNA
Rfam family: Bacterial small subunit ribosomal RNA
Source: RNAcentral
GAUGAACGCUGGCGGCGUGCCUAAUACAUGCAAGUCGAGCGAAUGGAUUGAGAGCUUGCUCUUAUGAAGUUAGCGGCGGACGGGUGAGUAACACGUGGGUAACCUGCCCAUAAGACUGGGAUAACUCCGGGAAACCGGGGCUAAUACAGGAUAACAUUUUGAACCGCAUGGUUCGAAAUUGAAAGGCGGCUUCGGCUGUCACUUAUGGAUGGACCCGCGUCGCAUUAGCUAGUUGGUGAGGUAACGGCUCAACAAGGCAACGAUGCGUAGCCGACCUGAGAGGGUGAUCGGCCACACUGGGACUGAGACACGGCCCAGACUCCUACGGGAGGCAGCAGUAGGGAAUCUUCCGCAAUGGACGAAAGUCUGACGGAGCAACGCCGCGUGAGUGAUGAAGGCUUUCGGGUCGUAAAACUCUGUUGUUAGGGAAGAACAAGUGCUAGUUGAAUAAGCUGGCACCUUGACGGUACCUAACCAGAAAGCCACGGCUAACUACGUGCCAGCAGCCGCCGUAA